GUGUUUGCUGCCAUUGCUGAUUUUUAACAUGAAGAGCCGGGAUGGUGGGGUGGUGUAUUGGUUAGAGCAUUGGACUAGGACUUGGGAUCCCAAGGUUCAAAUCCCUGCUCAGCCAUGAAGCAUCCUGGGUGACCUUCGGCCAGCCAUUCUCCCUCCCAGCCUAAUUUACCUCACAAGGUUGUUGUGAAGAUUAAAUGAGGUGGAAGAGAACCAUGUACAUCAUCUUGAACUCUUUGGAGAAAAAAACGAUACAUAAAUGCAGUGAGUUAACAUAAAAUAGCCACAAUGGUUGCCAGUUCAUUUCCGAGCUGAAUUCAAGGUGCUCAUGUUUAUGUUUAAAGCCCUAGACCACUUAGGCCCAAAAUAUCUGAAAGACCAUCUCCUUCCCUACAGACGGGCUUAGGUUUUAAGAUUAACAGAGGGGGCCCUAUUUGUAGUUCUGCUUCCCUCAGAAACUCCGAGGGUUGGCCAAGGAGGGCAUUCUCUGUGGCAGCCUCUAAGUUGUGGAGCUUCUUCCUCACAGAGGUAUAUCUGUUACCCUCACUUUGCAGUUUUAUGUGUCUGCUGAAAACGCACCUCUUGUAACUUUUUAAAACAGCUUUUCAUGUAUUUUAUAUUGUUGUGACCUUAGGAUGAAGGGCUGAUAAUAGAUGAAAUUAGAUGAUGAUGAUAAUCCUUAUACCGCUGAAAACCUCAUUACCAAACCAAAUACCUCUCCUAACAUGAAUGUACCCAGACCAUACAAGUGUCAUUUGGGGCCCUUCGUGGUUUACCCCUCCUUUUCCAGAGCCCCCCUCCCAAGCUAACAUAUACAAAAUGCAAUAUCCAAAACAUUGCAAUUUAAAGAUUUAAUAAAAUCAAUUGAAGCACAGUAAAUCAUCUGAUGCCCUUAUUUGUGUGCCCCGCCCUCCAAGAGGCAGUCAGAGGAUGGGAACAAGGGGAAAAGCCUUCUUUAGAUUGGAAGUGGAAUGCUCUCCAUUGAAGUCCGCCUUAGGCCAAAACUGAUUUCUUUCCAGCACCAGGUUAAAGGCUCAUCACCCAGGCAUUAGAUUGGAUUUGAAAAGUUUUUGUUAAAGCUGUCUAAAGCAUGGACUCCCAUGCGUUAGGCAACCCACUAAUUAAUUAAUUGAAUAAAUAAUAAAUUGUCUAUUGCACUUCUGUCAUGAUCUGUGGCCAAUACAAAAAUAAAACUGAAAAUGUAUGUUGGCAGCAGGGGAAUGGGGUGUAAUGCUGUCUUAAUGCAAGGUGGAAGGGUGUAAAGGAAAUGGCUUAAUUGCGUGACUUUUUGCGUAUGAAGGAAGAAAUUAAGAAUUCACCAGAAGUGAAUGUGUUGGGUCAAUGAGAUUCAUUGGAAAUUUUUUUUUGUUAAGACCUUAAAAAGGAACACGAGUAGGCUGUUGGCUUUUCAGUAGUUAUUUUUAUAACCCCAUGAAGGGGAUUGUGAAAUUCACAUGGCCAGCAGAAUUUAAGGCAGUGUUUUUCAAACUGUUCUGGGGAAAUUGGAAGUUCCUUAGAAGCUCAUCUGGGAAUCCUCAGUGAGAAGGUCAGUCUGGUGAGCGAGUUUCCUUGACAGAUGGUUUGCCCUGUGUUACCAACAACACACAGCUGUGAGGAAGUGUUUGUCUGCAGUGUGUGGAAGAGGCCCAGCAGGCCAGUGCGAGCUGCAGGCCUCCUAAGACACUCUCCAGAAACCUUUGCAUCAUUACAGGAAGGCAUUCACAUGUGCAUGAAUGCAUGAGGAGGGAGUAGGAGCUUCCCCCCUGCACACUGAUGCACUUGCUGGCUGUGUGUUAGUGCACCUGCUUUGGGUGCAGAGGGUUCCAGGUUCAAUUCCCGGCAUCACCAAGUAGGACCGGGGAAUUGAAUUUUUGUGUAAUGGGACUGUGGGAGCUCAGUUCUGGUACUGAAAUCCAGUUCCUGGGCUAAGAGCAUGUACUCAGAAGUAUCUUGCCUCUUAACUCUUAAAGAGUAUAUUUGCACCUGACUCCCGUGUGUGGAUCUGGGGUUUGGGGGUGUUGAGUGAACAUUAAACAGAGCCUGGAAACCUGAGGUAUGCCCACACUUGCCUAACAUGGCAGAAAUAGGAGCAUCAAACUGGUAAAGCAUCUAGAAACCAGGUUUUGCCCAUGUGUUUUCAACCACUGUGCUGUGGCACCCUGGGGUGCCUUGAAUGAUGGUCAGGGGUGCUGCGGGCAACACUGGCCACUGUCCCUCUUUCUUUCUUUCUUUCCCUCCCUCCUCUGAUGCCCUCUUGCAUCUCUGCCUCCCAAAGGCUUGCACAGAUGUUUGUUGCAGCAGCCCUAGCUACAAGCUCCCCAGGUGAAUGCUGCCUCUGGGGCUGGUCAGGGGGUGCUUCUCAGGAGAGCCAGUGUGGUGUAGUGGUUAAGAGCAGUGGACUCAUAAUCUGGUGACCAGGAAUGGCAGCUAUGGCUAGCCCAUCAUCACCUGCUUUGCAUAUAGAGGACCCCUGGUUCAGUCCAGGUAGGGCUGGACGAAACCUCUCUCUGAAUUCCUGGAGACCCACUGCCAGUGUAGGCUGACUCUGUUCAAGGCAGCAAAUGAAUCUUUCAUUCAGAAUCAUCAAGUUCAGCGACAGCAGUGAACUCGAGGAGGUGUUUACAUCUUGCUUGGUUUUUACUUGCUUGGGACAGAGUUUACCAACCGCUCCGGGUUGUCGUAGAUUCCUAUUUUGGAUGUAUAACGACAGUGAAAAGGCUCUCAAGUGGAUUGUGGUUCCUUGCUCAGAGCAGUAUGAUAAAGGCAUGUGGCCAUUGUGCAGCAGCCAGGCAAUUCCCUUUCCAAGAUUAGUAAGUGGGGAGUGUCAAGUGUGAUUUCAUAAGCAUUUCCAGAUAAUGGUGGCAGGAGCAUGCUUGGUUUACAUGCAUUUCCAUUGAAUUUGCGUAGUUAACCCUACUUCACAAGAAAGCGAAAUGUCUUUUUUUAAAAAGUGAUUUAUAUAAUAAUUUUCCUUUGCCUGAUGUUUUGCACAAGUACAUUUCCGGUGUGAGCAGAGAUUUCUUUAACCCCCUUGUCCAGGGUAAAAUGUUUGAUGAACUUACAAUUUGUCUUUCCUGUUGCUUGGAGACGCUUGAGAACUGUAGAACAGGGGGACUUCCGGGGGGCGGCGCGAACGGUAAUGGCGGUCUUCUCCCGACCGGAGAAGAAGCUCCGCUGAAACCGGGUCGUCCGCUACGGCGAAGCGGAGACCCAACGAGAAAACCCCCAGGCAGCAAGAGCCUGGGGUCCUGAGGCUCGGCGGGCGCCAAGAGCAGCCCUCCAACUGCAGAAGGAGCCUCGUAAGAGGCUCCGGAGCGUGGAGGGGGGCUGCGGCGCUGUGAGCCGUUUCACAGUCAGCGGAGUGAAGCCGCGCUGCUGCUGCCGGUGAGCGCUGAUCCCUUUUCCUGUUAAAAUUCGGAUCUGGAAGAAAACAACUUACUCGUGAGUAAAGACUGAAUCACUUGGAAUUACAAAUUUUAAAUGAGAAGGUUUAAAUUGACUUGAAUUUGGCUGAAAGCGGAGAGACGUGGAAACAGGAAGUCCGUCUUCCGCUGCCAUUGAACUUGGAAAAAAAAGCAACUAAAGUGGAGGAGUGGAGGCUGAAAGAAAGAGAUUUUAAACUCUACACAGCCAAGCAUCUAUGGAACUUACAAUUUAAAGUAAAAUUAGCAAGUUAAAGAUUUGGACCUUUUAUUUGCACUUGACUUUCCCCUUUUAUUGGAUUACAAAUUGGAAGGUGUAACCCAGAGUCAGGAUUGCUUGAGCACUGUAACAGUGGGCUGUCAGUGUUUGACUUGGAUACUGUAUAUCAGAAGUUGCAACAAUCUGAGGGUAUUGAGACCUUUUAAAUUUGAAACAUUCUUUUGGGAGACAAAUAAGCACUGUCUGCAACAAAGUGAUUACUUUUAAACUCUGCUUAAUACUUAUAUUGGAAGGUUCUGGGACAUUAAAUCAGACUCUGAAAAGACACUUUAAGCUCCCUCUAGAGGAUUGGAUUAAAACAGUGACUUUAUAAAAACAUUUACUUUCGAUUCUCUUGUUGUCUGCAUGCUCUGGGCCUCUCUAUUCCUGUGGGAAAAACUCAGUGUGACCUUGACUGAUAGAUAACAUUGGAAUGAGUGGUACAAGAAGAAGAGGAAGAGUUAGACAAACAACUCUAACAAAUCUAACCUCAGCCUCGCAGACACGUAGAUCAUCUGUGCCUACUUUGCCCUCAGAAGUACAACUUGAAGAAGCUGCCUUGCUACAGGCAAAAGAGGGAGAGGGUGAAGUAGAGCAGUUACAAUUGGAAGAUAUGGCCUCAGGAGCAUCUGUUUCUGUGCUAGAAAAAAUCUUUGAAAAAUUGGAAGCUUUGGACAAGAAAGUAGAUGCGCAAUCAGCAAAGAUUGAUAAAAAUACAGAUUGUCUAAACAAAUUAACUACACAGGUGGGACAGAAUACACAAGCAAUUGGACAGUUGACGGAGGCCUCAGUAGAAAACCGAAAAUUGGCUGAGGAUACCAGACAAAAAUUGGAAAAUUUAGAGCAAGAGGUAAGACCACUCACUAAACAAGUUGGGGAACAUCAGACUUAUCUUUCUAUGAUAGAACUGCGAAAUCGUGAGAAUAAUUUGAGGAUUAGAUCAUUACAAGAGGCAGAAGAAGGAAAUCUAACUGAGUUUUUGACCAAAGAACUUUCCAAGUUCUGGAAUUUGGAAGAAAAGGACUUUAAAAUUGUGUCAGCUUUCAGACUUGGAAGAUUUAUAAAGAAGGAGAGGCCCAGGGAUUGUUUGAUUACAUUGAGAUCGAAGGAGGAAAGGGAUAAGAUUUUGGGCCUACAUUACGAAAAGUCACUGGAAGUUUUGGAUAGAAGAAUUGAGAUAUAUAAAGAUAUCCCAAGACAACUGUUGGACCUUAGAGCCGCCUAUUCUGAACUUGCUAAACUAUUAAGGAGCAACGCAAUUCCAUUCAGGUGGGAUUUUCCCCAAGGAUUAUCUUUUACCUUUAGAGCGAGAAAGGUUAAAAUUAGAACAUUGGAAGAGAGAGAUAAAUUUUUGGCUACACACGGAGAGGACCUACAUAAAGGAAUUGAACUACCUUCCGGGCCUGAGGCAAAGCCAGCAUCAAUACCUCCACCUCGGGAACUUGAAGAUCAAGAGAAGACACCACCCCAGGAGAAAUAACCAGAUAGAUCCAGGAUGUCUCUGCAACUGUUGAGCUGGAAUAUUAAUGGUUGCAAUAUUCCGGAGAAAAGGAAGAAAAUAUUUCAUAUAUUAAAAAAGAACAAUUGGACAUUAUUUGCUUACAAGAAACACAUGUGACGAGGCUCCACAGAAAAGUGUUAAUAAAUAAAAGAUUGGGCCAGGAAUUUAUUUCGUCGGAUAAAGUGAAGAAGAGAGGAGUGGUGAUAUAUGCAAAAGAGAGCCUGUCACCUAAAUUUCUAUUUAAAGAUGAGCAUGGAAGGAUUUUGGCUAUUGAGAUACAAUAUCAAGGAGAGAAACUGCUGAUAUUAGGAAUCUAUGCGCCUAAUGAAGGGAAAUCGGAAUUUUACAAGAAGUUGCAGGGGACAAUGCUGGAUCAUCUGGAUUACAACAACAUCAUAAUGAUGGGAGACAUGAACGGGGUCGUGUCAACUAACAUGGACAAGUCGCAAAGUCAAAACAUCACAAAAGAUGGCAGACUACCUAAAACCUUUUUGAAAUGACUGACAAUAUGGACUUGAUCGACAUUUGGAGAACAAAGAACCCACUAGGUAGAGAAGGAACAUUCUUUUCUGAAGCCCAACUGACCUGGACAAGAAUCGACCAAAUAUGGAUCUCUAGAGGCCUGGCACCUAGGGUUAGAAAAGUGGAAAUCUGCCCAAAGACCUGUUCUGACCACAACGCAGUAAAGAUGGACAUGACACUACUACCAACUGGAUCCUUUAGAUGGAAGAUGAAUGACAAUUUGUUUAGAGAUCAGGAAAUUACCAAGAAGGCCCAAAAAGUUUUGAAAGAUUAUUUUGAGAUAAAUAUGAACAAUUCGGUGGAAAAAGAAUCGUCUGGGACGCAAGCAAAGCUGUUAUGAGGGGAUUCCUGAUACAACAGAAUGUAGU
Non-coding RNA from Podarcis lilfordi (Lilford's wall lizard), 6069 nucleotides. The record is from the annotation of a GenBank genome assembly. Lineage: Eukaryota; Metazoa; Chordata; Lepidosauria; Squamata; Lacertidae.